This 9309-nucleotide long non-coding RNA is filed under the name Marmota monax (woodchuck). The record is from RNAcentral. Lineage: Eukaryota; Metazoa; Chordata; Mammalia; Rodentia; Sciuridae.
UGUACAUGUACUGAAACAUUAUAUGAUAUUCCAUUCAUAUCUAUAACUUUUAUUUUUAUGUGCCAGUUUAAAAUAUAUUAAAAAAAGAAGUAGCUUAUAGUUCCAGAUCAAAGGUACUACCCCAGAGUACAAUAAAAAUAUAGACAAAAGUAUUCAGAAGGACUGUAUUUGAACUAUGUAGGAAAGUACAGUUUUUAUAGAAUAAAGAAAGUCUGUAAGAUAAAGUUUAGAUAUUCUUAGUUCUGACACCUUCACCUUAAGAUGUAUUUGUUUCCUGACCAGGUCCUCAAAUAUUCACCUAAGACAUGGUAACUUUGGGGGAUGGAAUAAUGCUUCUUGCUAAUCAGCAUAGACAACACCCAGUGAUCUUGCAUGAAGAAACAUCCUGUUGUGAAAAGGUGAUUACUCAUUGUAUCCACAAAACAGGAGUGUGAUGUCUCUGUGAAUGUAUGUGUGCAUACAUUUAUGCCCGUGAAUGUGUGUGCUUGUGUCAAGAGGAAGUGAUGUGUGCAUGUUUUAUUACUUAGCACACUUGGAUUUUUUUAUUCAGAGAUAUUAAUAAAGGUAAAGUUGAAGGCUUAACCCCAAGACGUGAUUGUUAGUUUUGCACAGAGGAAAAUCUCUGUCUCAUGACUGUAGAUUGCACUUCUAGUCCUCAAAUGCAAUGAGAGAACAUCUAACUUAGUGGAAUCACUAGCAUGACCAGAAAGUCAACUCACUCAUAUUAUGAUGGCUAAGGAUGAUCAUUAUAAGAAGAAAAAGUUACUGUUAGAUACAGUAUUGUGAAAAAAGGAUGAAAAAUCCUCAAUCAUAUUAAGAAAGCUGAACAAUUUUACAGACUUACACACAGAUACUUUUUUCUCAGUACUAUUUUAUGUUUUUUUAAAUCUAUGUACCUGUACAGAAAAAUGCAAACAUCAUUUAGCCUUGAACAAUUCAAUAAUGUGUAUGAAAGCUAAUUAAUAGGAUUUAGUUCCACUGGGUGUGAGGUUGCAUUAGGAUUCCAAAUGACAUUUUACUUUUACUUUAUUGGGUUGUUUUAAUAUGUCAAAUGAGAAGAUGCAAGUUUCCUUACUAAUUAAUUAACUAAUUAGUACUUUGGGAAACAUGCCAGUUUUUAUGUUGCCGCCAUCAUUUUUAUUUUUAGCUCCAUCUGUUUUGUUUUAUCAAGUUGCUGUUUAAACUCUGGUACAAUACUUAGUUUGUAGCUUCAAUACUGUCCCUACUAACUUCCUGUGUUAGUUAGGUUUUCAUUGGUGUGACCAAAAUACCAGACCAGAACAACUUAGAAGAGGAAACAUUUAUUUUGAGUUAACAGUUUCAGAGGUUCAGUCCAUGGUCGGCCAGCUCCAUUGCUCUGGGCCCAAGAUGAAAUAGAACAUCAUAGCAGAAGCACACAGCAAAGGAAAGCUGCUGGCCUCAUUGUAGCUAGACAGGAAAAAGAAAGAGAGAGAGAGAAGGGGAGAUGGAGAGAGAGAGGAGCCAGAGGAACAAGAUAUAAUCACCAAUCGAACACCCACAGUGACCUACUUUGUCCAGCCAUGCCCCACCUGCCAACAUUUACUACCCAGUAAUCCAUUCAGCGUUAACCCAUCAAAUGAAUUAAUCUACUGAUUAGAUCACAGCUCUCACAAUCUAAUCAUUUUGCCUGUUAACAAGCAUACAUUGUCUCCUCUGCUUUUGGGGGACACCAUAUAAUCAAACCAUAAUACUUCCCUAAAAUGAAUACUUCAUUACUAGCCCCUAAGCCUGCUCUUUGCUCCUCAAUAUCCUAUACCAGAAAGAAUCUCUUUUUAUUUAAGGCUAGUUCAUGGUCACAUAAGAAUCUCAGAGUCUUUACAGUUCUCAUGGAUUUUUUUAGAACGUAUGGAUGGAAUCUGUCUCCAGUUGAAACCUGGAGAUUUCCUCUUGGAUUUCCCUCCCUUUUCUUGCCCUUUCCUGGGAACUGAGUUCCCAACCUCUCCCUGCCCUUUGAAUCAAAGACCAGAGGUGCACCACUGACAGAAAGUACUUGUAUUCUUCAAAGGAGAGCAUUUGUUGCUGUCAAUCACCUAUUGUAAAAUAACUCUGAUGAGUAUUAUUAAUUUUUAUGUUGAUCCUAUUUUAUUUAAUAUUAUUAUUAUUAAUAAUAAUUAAUGAUAUCAUCCUCUAUAUAGAAGGUGAGUAAAUAAAUUACAGUCUGCUCUUUAAUCCCUUUUUUCCUCAUCUGACUCAAAUUUAUGUUGAUUAAAGGUUAGAAUAAAAGUAUGCUUAAUUGGGCUGGGGUUGUGGCUCAGUGAUAGAGUGCCUGCCUAGCACAUGUGAGGUACAUUUAGUGGUUUAGUGGCUUAGUGGUUUGGAAAGCGCUUAAGAAGAAAAUACUGUUGAUUUUAGUUGUCAGUAAACUUAUUGUUUCACUUCAUCUCAGCCACAUUGAAAAACUAAAUAAAGGUAUUGGGUCCAUCUACAACUAAAAAUAUUUUUUGAAGUAAGCUUGAUUAAAUUGUGCUAUUUACCGAAUGCUACAGUUUAUGAUGUAAUAAUCAAACACUAUACAUUCUUAUGGCUAAUAUAGAAAUUUUUAUAACAAAUUAUUGUAUAUAAUAAUAAAUAAAUUUAUAACAAUAAAUGGGGAACAUCCUAGAAGGUAUGCUAAUCUAUUACCAGAAAGAAUCUCUUCUUAUUUAAGACCAGUUCAUAGUCACAUCAGAGUCUCAGAGUCUUUACAGUUCUCUGUAAAAUAAUUGUGGAAUAAGGAAUAAAAGACAUCUUUUGAGAAUAUACAGUGUGAGGAUCUCAAAGUUUGUAUUCUUUAUGUCUCUCUCCAUAAAAUAUCAUCUUUGUGGAUGAGAGCAGAUCCUUAAUAUCUUGUCCUUAGCUGUCUUUUCUCUCUGUAUCCCCAGUUGGUUUCAACCUUUCUCCCCUGCAAGCAAUUGUCUUUAUUUCAUCAUUCAGACUGAGUCUUUUGAAAGCUCAUAAAUCAACAGAAGCCAGAAAAUUACAAAUGCACACUGUAUGUUUAAUAAUAGUGCACAAUCUGAUUACUGUAAGUACAAUUUUAAAUUUUUUCUGUUCAAACAGUUUAUGUGAAUAGCAACUUCUAUUUUCUUAGACUUACUUGAGUGGAAAAAAAUCCCUUUGAAGCUACAACAGAACUUGUGGUACAAUAUUGAUUAAUUGGUAAUGCAAAUUAGCUUGUGCCUACCAUCAGAACGUGGAAAAAUAUAUUUGAGUCUGAAAGUAAGACCCUCAGUUCUGUCUGUGCACUUCCUUAGUUGGUUGAAACUCUCAAAUAUACCUCCCUUUUAACAGCGGUAAAGGUUGUUUUACCUUAUGGAAUAAAAAAAAAAAAAAGAUAAGUUGACCUUUUCCAUUUUAUCUGAAAGAAAGUGCUUAAGAAGAAAAUACUGUUGAUUUUAGUUGUCAGUAAACUUAUUGUUUCACUUCAUCUCAGCAACAUUUUCCAAACCACUAAACCACUAAAUGUUCACUGGAGACUUUCAGGUCAUGGCAAGAUGACAUAGUAAUUUGGUGCUUAAUUGAUUUAAUAUUGAGUGCCAAGAAACAAUUGAGGCUCAACCCACAAACCCCAAAUCCAUUACAUUAUCCUAUUUUGAAUGUUUAAAAAAAUAAGUAGAAGAUUUUAAAAUAGCCACUUCAUUUUAGGCUCUAUAAUGAUAGUAUGUGAAAUUAUUAAGUUGUAUAGUAUUACAGAGCUUUCAGAAGACUCAGAUUUGAGCUGAUGUAUUUCAUAAGGAAAAAUUCUUAUUUGCUUGCUAAUUUACCUGAAGAUAUUCAUCUCUAAUGUGUACUCCCAGAAAUGUAAAAAUGUUCCAUCGCAUUUCAAAUUAUCAGUAGCAGUUAAUUAAGGUUCAAAUUGCUUUGAGGAUGCUAAAAUUGAUUUUAUCAUUUUUGUCAAUUUCUUUUUAUUGUGCCAUUCCUGGGUUUAUGCCAAUAAUUUGUCAGAUGCAAUUACAUUUGUGAAUUUAAUUUUCUUUUGCACUGUAUGGCAAACUAGGUAUAUUCCCAUAUUACUAGGUGUUUUAUAGGAGUUACUCUUGAUUUUCCUUAAAAUUAUUUACUGGUUUUUCAUAUUAUUUCCCAUGAUGUCAUUUACUCUCAUAAUAUGAAUGUGGCAAUCAUUUUAGUAGUUAGAAAAGCUAUAACAAUGCAAAUAUGUACUUGGCCUUCAUUGGUCUUUAAUCCACUACUGCCAAUUUAAUCUACAUACCAGACAUUAAAUAACAACAGAAUUAAUAACAAUAAUACCUACUAUUUAUUGAACACUUACUAGGCCCUAAUCCCUGAACUUAAUACAUUGUCUUAAUUAACCUUCUUUGUAACCUGAGGAUGGCACAGUUUCUAUCUACCAUAUGGCCAAAGUGGUUGUUAAAACACUGAAGUACUUUUAUUGUGGUAGUGAAGAGCUGAUGUCCCAAGCUCCCCAAGUGUCCUUUGUACCUUUUUUCUCCAAUUUCCCAUCUUUUCUCCUGGGGAUCUCUCCAUCUUGUCCUCCCCAAAUCCAGAAACUAGAGGAUUAACAAUGGCAUGGCAGAGACCCUCUGUGACCUCUGCUCUAGCAGCCAGACUUCGUUCUGAUGUGUUGGUACCCAAGCUGUUCCAGUAGUUAAAUAUUGUGGUUAUUAGCAAAGAUGUAGAUACUAUCAUUACUGUUCUGCAGGAGGGAAAACUCAUAUAAAUAUGUAAAAGUUCAUCAGUUUGCCCAAGAUUGCCCACCUAGAAAGUGUCAGAUCCAGGACUCAAACCUAGGUCUCUCUCAAGUUAAAAUCCUUGCUCUUUUUUUGGGGGGUGGGGGUGGAGAAGUACCAGGAAUUGAACUCAGAGGUACUCAACCCUGAGCCACAUCCCCAGCCCUAUUUUGGAUUUUAUUUAGAGAUAGGGUCUCACUGAGUUGCUUAGCAUCUCCCUUUUGCUGAAACUGCUUUGAACUUGUGAUCCUCCUGUCUCAGCCUCCCAAGCUGUUGGGAUUACAGGCAUAAACCACAUCGCCUGGCAAAAUCCUUGCUCUUAACUAGUAUAGUGGACUAAAAAAUAGAGAAAACCAGCCGGUGAUUAGUGUUGACUUCCCAGGCCCCAACAUGGAUAGCUAUCUACUCUGACUACUUGUACAAUGAAUUUUAAAUUUAAUUAUGUUUUUCAUUAGGUUCUCAGCCAUAAUAAUGAGCAUGCAAGUACUAGGUUGAUAAUGGAUACUUUGCAUUAUUCCACCAGCAUCCUGUAUUUACUAAUUUAGCCCAUGUUGUAUUUUGCAAAAAUGUCUCCAUAGGUAGAAAUUACCUUCUUUAUUCAUCCCUUUUAAAAACAUUUUAAAAUGUUAUUGUAUUUUUAUACAUUUAUUUUAUUUAUAUAUUUUUAUGUGGUUCUGAGGAAAGAACCCAGUGCCUCAUAUGAGCUAGGCAAGUGCUCCACUACUGAGCUACAAUCACAGCCCCUAUUCAUCCCUUUUUGGAUGAUGCCCCCUAUUCAGACAAAUGAUUAAACACACCAAAAAUGGUAAAUUACAAACUUAACAUUUUUAUAUACUUUUAAACUUUAUUUACUUUUAUAUAAUUUUAAUAUCCCAAAUCCAAGUAUCAUAGGCUGAAACCCCUUAGCAUUAUAUUUCGCUUCUUCUCUCUUAUCUACCUUUUCUUUCUUUCCAUUGUUAAUAAAAAACCCAGUGCAAAAAUAAAAAAACCUAGCCUUCAUAUGGACAUUAUGAAGAUCCAUAAUGUCCAAGUCACUUAUAUAACUCCAUCCUUAGUAUCAGAGAAAAUUCUAAUUCUAUUAGCAUGUGUUGUAUAUUUUUUAAAGGCAGUUAGACCAACAGGUGAAUCAAAAAGUCUGCUGUCUACAAAGCACAUUUUUAUUUAGCAAAUUGCAUCAGUGCUCUGAGAACUGGAUAUACCACAUCUAUCUGCCAAAGCAGAAAAAUUUGACAAGGGAUGCAGAAAUACUUCAGGUAUGGUGAAAGAAAUGAUAGGUUUUAUGUGUAGGUGAUGUAUGGAGUGCAGAAAUUAUAAGACCUCUCCAAGGUUGGCCUAUCUGACAUUAGGGACAGGGCUAACAUGUCUUAAUGGAGGCCUAGCAUGACAACCAAAGGCAUACUGGAUCUUUCUCUGGGCAGCAUAUGUGUAUUUCUUGCUAUAAUAUUAUGAAAUAUCAUAAAUGAAGGUUUGUCCUUCAUUUCUCGACAAAUAUCUUUAUAUAUCUAGAAUCUCCAAAGUGACACAUAUCUUUUGUGUGCUAAUCAGAUGACUGGUGGCUGGAGUUUCCUCCUUAGCCUCAGGAUGGGGGCUGUUUGCCAGGGGCACAAACCUUGCAAUUAGAAGGUUGGAGCUUACAGUACCUCCACCUAACCUAGGGGAGGGGAAAAGGGCUGAGGGUUGAAUUGAUAAACCAAUAGUUAAUGAUUUGAUCAAUCAGCUUACUUAAUGAGAUGUCCUUGAAAAAAAAAAAGAGGAAAGAACUGAGUUCUGAGGGCUUUCUGAUAGCUGAACAAUGGAGGUCCCAGAAGGUGAUAUUUCUAGAGAUGGCAUGGAAGCUCUAGGCCCCUUCUCCCAUAUCUUGCCUUAGGCAUCACUUCCCUCUGUUUAUCUGUUUCCUUUUUACUAUCCCUAAUAAUAAACCCAUAAAUGAAAGUAUGUUCCCCUAUCAUAGGCAAGUAGAUUGCCACACUGGCAAAUAGAUUGGACCCAAGGAGAGUACCAUGGGAACCCUGAUUUGCAACUAGUUGGUCAGAAAAACAGGCCAUAAUCUAUGCUUAUGAUUGGAGUCUGAGGUGCUUGGCAGUCUUCUGGGACUGAACCCUCAACCUAUGGGGUCUUCCUCUAUUUCCAGGCAGAUAGUGUCAAAAUUGAAUUGAAUUAGAGGAUAGCCAGCUGGUAUCUACUGGAGAAUACACUGGAGAAGUGUUUGGUGUUGUGUAUUGGGGAGGACCCCAACAUCUAGGGUCACAGAAAUGUUCCAUGCUGUGAAGGUAUAAUGGGAGAAACUCAAAGUUUGUUUUAUUCUUAUAGCCUUUCACUUACUGGCUCAUUUGAAUUUGCAGUGGGCAUGGAUAUGUCUAAGACUUCUGGGACCAGCAGAAGAGUCAGCCAGCAGCAGCACCAAGCAACCUUACCCCAAAGCAGCAGCAGGGAUGAGAUUACCUGGUGUCUCUCCUGGGCCCUGAGCAACACCUGGGGCCCCAAGGUUGUGACCACACAGUUCUCUGAUGAUGUUUAAUCCUGGGACUUUCAGUAACAUUUAGGAAGAGAUACAGCCUGCCCCUGCAUUACCUUUCCACAGGUUAAAGGUGGAUGAAGGAAGAUCUGAGCUCCGAGAGCUGUAAGAACAAGACCAAAGCUUGACUUUUUCGUUGUCUUUCUGCUCAAAGGGAUCAAAAUUAGGGAGCAGUGGGCUGGGGUUGUAGCUCAGUGGUACGGUGCUUGCCUAGCACACGUGAGGCCCUGGGUUCAAUCCUUAGCACCACAUAAAACUGAAAUAAAGGUAUUAUGUCUACCUAUAACUAAAAAAUAAAUAUUAAAAAAGAAAAUUAGUGAGCAGUGAAAGCAGGAGCUCUUGUGGUUGCUGAGGACUGGAGCUAGCAGUGUGAGAAUCCCCUGAGGCCCUGACGGAAGGUGGAAGAAACUUGGAAGGGGAGGGCUGAAUCUCCACAAAGUACCUUAGAGAACCUAAGCCCAGGAGGCUUGUGUUAUCUUUAUUUAUUUUCAGUUAUCUUUAUUUAUUUUUUCCUAGGAACCCGGGAAUUCUCUUCAAAACAACAAAAAAAAGUUACCCAAGUUUUGAGAAGUUCUGUUCUCCUUAGAUCCACUCUCUGAAACUGAAUGGUGGAGUCAUUUAAUAGUAGUCAGGAAGAUACUGUCAGAAUGGUGAGGGGCCUCUCCCCUGCUCAUGGAAGGCCAUCAUGUUUUUACAAGUGCAGCCAACACUUCAACACAUUUAUUAAGUACCUACUGUGUAUUAGGAGCUGUAUUUUUCAUGACCAUAGUUCAAGGGAGAGGGGGAAAGGGAGGGCUACAUCACCUUGGGAACAGAUGGUUAACUUCUGGAUGUCAUCUCUGCACCCACCAUUAUGUUCACAUACUGUAGCUGAAAUGGGACCUGGUGUGCAUUCUGCCCACUAGUAAGAAUGUGCUAAUUUUGAAAUGGAAAAGUUCUGCUUGACAUUUGUCAGUGAAGAGAUUACUUAGAGAAGACUUAGAGAAAUCACUGCUUCAUAGAGGCCUGUCCAGGCAGGAUUAGAAAACCUGUUUCACCAUAUUUUGAAGUUUAUCAAACAGGAUAUUCAAUUUAGCAAAUUUCCUAACAAACUGACAUGAAAUCAGAAAUCUAUUUUAUUAAUUUACAGUGAGAAAGAAAACUUCCCAGGAGUUAGAAAGCCUGUUGUUUAAUUUCUCUUCCUCUUAUUCUCACUGAACACAAACCAAAAUAAGCCCAACUUUCAGAAGAUACCUAGAAGAAGAGGAGGUAUUUAUGCAAGUGUUGUAUUUAAUGCCAUCAUGUUAAUAGAGCCAAGUACAUGCAUUUCUGCUCCAAGGAUUACCACAAAGUAGACCAGAUAUUUGCAGAAACUAGAUGGGUUCGUUUCUUUGAGAUAACAGUUAACUGGGCUUUGAAUCUCUUUUUCCCUGUUUCUGUGACUGAUCAGAUAUCUACCAUUCUUAUCUUCAAUAUGUCAGUUAGGUGGUAGUCUAUUUUGUUUCUUUAAGAUAACUUUGUUCAUCUCUGUUGAUUUUGACCCUUUUGACCAGAUGAUGAUAUCAUUUCCCAGUCUUCAGGAUACCUCUUUAUUCGAUGUAUUUCCUCCCAUGUACUUUUUAUAAGAGUGAUUACUGAGCUUUUAGCUACUUCUUACUCUUUUCUAAAAAAUAUAUAUUUCUUAGGUAUAGGUGGACAGAAUGUCUUCAUUGCUGGGAGCCAUUAGCCAAGUAGGUAUGACAAUUUCCUUGCCAGUGUACCCCAUGUUGCUUAGUGGAAGGACUCGUGGAAAUAGGACAUUUUGCAGUGACAUUGCAUCUAAGGUGACCUUGCUCAAGGACCAGGGCGGAUCCGGGUUUAGGGUGUUCCCUAUUUAGGACAAUCCGGGUUUAGGGUGGUUCCAGGUUUAAGGUUAUUCCUGCUGGGAAUAGGGCGUAUCCUGCUGCCUGAGUUCCCCUUGAGUUCUCACGGGAUUCAGACAGUAUUUUUUGGGAGACAGAAGCCCAGUGGGGGUGGAUUUGGGCAGAGAACGUGGAUUUCCCCAGAACGUGAUUGUAGACGGCUGGUGUGAGUUCGGGAAUAAAGAGUUGCUGUUUGAAUCUACAAGCUGUGUGGUGGCUCGUGAUU